RNAcentral lists this ribosomal RNA (433 nucleotides) under uncultured bacterium. RNAcentral describes it as "bacterial SSU rRNA". It matches the Rfam family "Bacterial small subunit ribosomal RNA", at positions 29 to 506 of the family's 1533-position model. The record is from RNAcentral.
GCGAACGCUGGCGGCAGGCCUAACACAUGCAAGUCGAGCGGCCGUAGCAAUACGGCAGCGGCAGACGGGUGAGUAACACGUGGGAACGUACCCUUCGGUUCGGAAUAACUCAGGGAAACUUGAGCUAAUACCGGAUACGCCCUUUUGGGGAAAGGUUUACUGCCGAAGGAUCGGCCCGCGUCUGAUUAGCUUGUUGGUGGGGUAACGGCCUACCAAGGCGACGAUCAGUAGCUGGUCUGAGAGGAUGAUCAGCCACACUGGGACUGAGACACGGCCCAGACUCCUACGGGAGGCAGCAGUGGGGAAUAUUGGACAAUGGGCGCAAGCCUGAUCCAGCCAUGCCGCGUGAGUGAUGAAGGCCUUAGGGUUGUAAAGCUCUUUUGUCCGGGACGAUAAUGACGGUACCGGAAGAAUAAGCCCCGGCUAACUUCGU